Molecule: ribosomal RNA, 460 nt
Filed under: uncultured bacterium
Lineage: Bacteria
Description: partial 16S ribosomal RNA
Rfam family: Bacterial small subunit ribosomal RNA
Source: RNAcentral
GAUGAACGCUGGCGGCGUGCUUAACACAUGCAAGUCGAGCGGUCAGGCCUCUUCGGGGGUACUCGGACGGUGGAGGCGUGAGUAACACGUGGGUGAGCUGCACUCAGCUCUGGGAUAGGCCUGGCUACCUGGGUCCAGUACCGGAUCUGGCCUUUCUAUGCAUGGGGAUUGGUGGAUAGUUUUGUCGGCUGGGGCUGGGACCGCGGCCUAUCAGCUCGUGGGUGGGGUGAUGGCAUACCAAGGCGACGACCGGUAGCCGGGCUGAGAGGGCGACCGGCCACACUGGGACUGAGGCACGGCCAGGACACCUACGGCAGGCAGCGGAGGGGAAUAUUGCCCAAUGCGCGGAAGCCUGACGCAGCGACGCCGCGUGAGGGAUUGCGGCCAGCGGAUUGCAAACCUCUUUCGACCCCGACGAGUUUGGACGGUAGCGGAAGAAGAAGCACCGGCCAACUACGUG